Myotis lucifugus (little brown bat) is the source of this 76-nucleotide non-coding RNA. Lineage: Eukaryota; Metazoa; Chordata; Mammalia; Chiroptera; Vespertilionidae. The record is from Rfam.
CUCGGGGGAGGGGGGGGUCCCUUAGCCUGGAUUGCAAGAAGGUGCAGGCCAGGCCGAGGGACCCCACUGGUGCACG